CUUGUGGACUGUCUUCUUCUUCUGCUCCUAAUGUUACUUCCUGCUCAGCUGCGGGAGUCCCAGUGUCGUCGUCUCUAAUAAUUCAAGAUGCCAUGUCUUCGAGUGAUGAACCAGCAGAAGGAUCAGCGCGAAGCCCUUCAUCAGAGGAAUCUACUUUGAGCUAUCUUGGAAGCCAAGACGAUGAAGAUGGAGCUUCCAGCAUUAUCAAGCACUCUACUCUUAAUUUCAUAUUAUUAGGCUUGGCCGCUUCUAUCAUCUUCAUAUUGUUAUGAUUUUUCAACAUUAUUAUUAAUUGUUAUGUUCUUUACUAAUGUCAUUUUUGAAUUCA
Molecule: long non-coding RNA, 328 nt
Organism: Prosopis cineraria
Lineage: Eukaryota; Viridiplantae; Streptophyta; Magnoliopsida; Fabales; Fabaceae
Exons: 3
Source: RefSeq, a predicted model, not a curated record